GCCAAGCACUGUGGUGCAUGCCUGUAAUCCCAGCAGUUCAGGAGGCUGAGACAGGGGGAUCGCAGGUUCACAGCCAGCCUCAGCAACUGCAAGGCACUAAGGAACUUAAUGAGACCCUGUCUCUA
Molecule: small RNA, 125 nt
Filed under: Marmota monax (woodchuck)
Lineage: Eukaryota; Metazoa; Chordata; Mammalia; Rodentia; Sciuridae
Source: RNAcentral